RNAcentral lists this long non-coding RNA (1369 nucleotides) under Medicago truncatula (barrel medic). RNAcentral's name for it is "long non-coding RNA (MTRU_LNC001632)". Lineage: Eukaryota; Viridiplantae; Streptophyta; Magnoliopsida; Fabales; Fabaceae. The record is from RNAcentral.
UUAAUACAAAUAUGGAUCUAUUCUUUUGAUCCUUGCAUACAUAGUUUUACACAAUUUUAUUUUGAUUCCCAAAUGAAACCCAAAAUUGUCAUAAUGGAAUUAUAGUUGCUUUAAGAAGCUAAUGAUCCUUAAUAAUGUGUACGUAGUGAAACUGGCCUGGCAUAUUCUUACUAGUCCUUACGAAUUGUGGGUGAAAGUGAUGAAGGCCAAACAUGGUUGUGGCACUUGUACUAUUCCUGUAUAAUCAUAAAGAAGCUUCUACUAGCACUUGGAGAGCAAUAACGUAUGCUUAGGAUGAUGGUAAAUGCAUUUGCAUAGUUCGUGAUGUUCUCGAUACAAAAUUCUGGAAAGAUUCUUGCCUUAAAAGCAUUAGUUGCACUGCUUAAGCUGUUAGCAAUACCAUCCCAGCCAGAGUGCUUUAUUUCCAGAUUUUUUUACAUGAUUGCUUAUGUUAAACCUCCCAGCCUCUCGAAUUUCCUACGAAGGCAAGGGAAAAUACUUGGGUGACUUUGUCACUAUCUCCCUCCUAGCCAAUCAUUCAUAUAUCAUCCUCUCAUCAAAAGUUACCAACAUCACCAAAACUUGAAUGACGGGGCGUCUACGUGACAAAUGACCCCACAAAAAUGAUUUAAUAAAUUAUAAAACUAAUAAAAAAAGAGCAUUGCUAUAUACUGUCAGAGAUAUCUUGUGAAGACACCACAAUUAAAAAACAGAUCAAUAAAAAAACAUGGUGCUUCAGUGCAAUACAAGUGAGUAAAUACAUGCAGUAUUCCUCUCGACGUAAAUUCUAUCACGAUAAGUAGCGUUUCCGAUGAAAAAUGCGAGGCUUACAAACAAAAAUAGUUAUUAUCUAUAGAUAUAUAAUUGCCAUAAUACCAAUAAUCGAUUGUGGCUAUUUGAAACACCUAUAGUACGUGUUUUUAAACACCUAAAGUAAUAGUUGCAUUCAAAUUUUAAAUUAGGAUGAAAAAAAAAAGGAACCAUAAAACUAAAACUAUAUCACUGCCUGGCUCCAUCCUGCAUGCCUGUGUUUUCCUAUAUCUCACAAAUCAUUGUUUUUCUUUAUAUAUAGCAAAGUUACAUUGCAAUCCUUGGCCUUCUGAAUUCUUUGUCAACAAGGAUGUAUACAUGUCGAAGUUUGUUAUUGUCGAAGUUUUCGUCUCUUCAUUGUUCUUCUCUUUCUGGAAAGUACAACUCUGAGAGAAUAUAACGAACAGUUAGAAAAAGAGAAAAGGAAGAAACAUGCUGUGUUGAUAGAGAGAUAUGAAAUGAAAGAGAUUGGUUUAUAUAUAAGGGACACAUUUUUGCCCGUGCGUCUUGUUUAUGCAACCCAAAUACGUGUUUUGGCCGGUGAUUACCCUUUUCUUUG